RNAcentral lists this unclassified non-coding RNA (221 nucleotides) under uncultured Solirubrobacteraceae bacterium. RNAcentral describes it as "contains 16S-23S intergenic spacer region". Lineage: Bacteria; Bacillati; Actinomycetota; Thermoleophilia; Solirubrobacterales; Solirubrobacteraceae. The record is from RNAcentral.
UCCGGUUUGUCACCGGCAGUCUCGCAUGAGUCCCCAACUAAAUGCUGGCAACAUGCGACGGGGGUUGCGCUCGUUGCGGGACUUAACCCAACAUCUCACGACACGAGCUGACGACAGCCAUGCACCACCUGUGAAGAUCCAGCCGAACUGACCCCGUGUUUCCACGGGUACGAUCCACAUGUCAAGCCCAGGUAAGGUGGGGAUGACGUGUCCUUGAUAGG